Molecule: ribosomal RNA, 441 nt
Filed under: uncultured bacterium
Lineage: Bacteria
Description: partial 16S ribosomal RNA
Rfam family: Bacterial small subunit ribosomal RNA
Source: RNAcentral
CCUACGGGAGGCAGCAGUGGGGAAUAUUGCACAAUGGGGGAAACCCUGAUGCAGCGACGCCGCGUGAGUGAAGAAGUAUCUCGGUACGUAAAGUUCUAUCAGCAGGGAAGAAAAUGACGGUACUUGACUAAGAAGCCCCGGCUAACUACGUCCCAGCAGCCGCGGUAAUACGUAGGGGGCAACCGUUAUCCGGAUUUACUGGGUGGAAAGGGAGCGUAGACGGCAGCACAAGUCUGGAGUGAAAUCCCGGGGCUUAACCCCGGAGCUGCUUUGGGAACUGUGCGGCUGGAGGGCAGGAGGGGGAAGUGGAAUUCCUAGUGUAGCGGUGGAAUGCGUAGAUAUUAGGAGGAACACCGAUGGCGGAGGCGGCUUACUGGACUGUAACUGACGUUGAGGCUCGAAAGCGUGGGGAGCAAACAGGAUUAGAUACCCCGAGUAGUC